GAGAAAGAAUGAUCGACUAAGUUCGUCACGUCCUGUGACAACGUCGAUCUGACCCACGUCGUGUGGG
Pontibacillus marinus BH030004 = DSM 16465 is the source of this 67-nucleotide small RNA. It matches the Rfam family "Bacillaceae-1 RNA". NCBI's taxonomy places the organism in Bacteria, Bacillati, Bacillota, Bacilli, Caryophanales, Bacillaceae. The record is from Rfam.